Molecule: long non-coding RNA, 5222 nt
Organism: Brassica rapa (field mustard)
Lineage: Eukaryota; Viridiplantae; Streptophyta; Magnoliopsida; Brassicales; Brassicaceae
Source: RefSeq, a predicted model, not a curated record
GAAACAGUAAUAUAAAAUGAGUUAAUUUAGUUGGUUGAGUUAGAUUAUUUUAUUGACGUGUAAAACAAAAUUAAAUAGUUAAAGGUAAAAAUUUUGUUUGAAAAUUUGAUUUGUGAUUGAGAUAUUAUGAGGGCACUGAGGGGGCAGGUGCCACUACUCCUCGGAGUCACAAUAAAUUGAGUCCACAUCCGUGCAUCUACUCGCAAAAUCAAAUUGCACAAGUCAAAUCCAUGUGUUGCUUAUUAAUUUCUAGAGUUGGGAGUACACACUUACUUUUUCAAUUAUAUUUAGAAAUAUUUCAAACUUUACAAAACCUUUUUUUGAGAACUUUUCUAUUGUUUGAAUAAGAACAAAAGUAAAUAUACAAUAUGCAGAGUUUAACUUGAUUGGCAACUUGGCAACGUAAUUUGGAGUAAAAUAUAUUCCACCUUCAUUGGUUGUGCAGCUUGUGCAAGAUAUAAAUACAGUCAAAUUGUUUGUAUCUCAACUUAUUAAUCAUGUAGAGAUUGACAGAUUGUCACAUCAAGACACUGGUUAUAUUAAAUGUUUAUGACUUUGAAUAUCAAUAUAAAACAGCUAAAACAUUGUUUUCUUCCCGGGAUGAUGUGAGAAAGGUCAACGGUGAUUAGGGAAGUUUUCUUGACAAAUGACAAAUGGUUAUAAAAUAUGUCAUGUUACAAAAAAAGAAAAAGAAAAAAAGGUUAUAAAAUAUGUCAAUUUUGUGUCUAGUGUAUACUCUUAAGCUGGGGUGUUCUAUAAAUAGUUAAUCAAGAUGCCUCGAUUAAAGGACUGCUACACAUCGUUAAAGGCUACUCUGGAAUCACAAUACUAAAAGCAGCAUAUUCUGUAUCUAGAGAACGCCACGUCCUCAAAAAUAUUCGUCCAAUCAGAAUCAGUUAAUUGUCCACGUCAGAUGGGCCUCACAAUUGUUUUUUAAAUUGGCCCAACUGGACACAAAACACACAAAGAAACACGUCGAAGGAUGACGCUUCGCUUCACCUCUGCCAGUUCGUCUUCUCCAAUUGAAGAGUAAAGAAACCGAGUAGUAAUCGAGCCAAUUCUACACAAUCAAUACGUUCUUAAUGAUUUCAUUCCAUCUCCCUCUUUUUUCCCUCUUUGGAUUUGUCCGAUCGAUUAGAACUUCGUAAUUAGAUCUGAAAUUCGCGAGCUUUAGGUCAACUGGUUUCGUCUCUGUGCAAUUCAAGGAGCUAGCUCAGGCUUAUGAGGUUCUCAGCGAAGCGGAGAAGCGUGAGAUCUAUGAUCUGUACGGUGAGGAUGCGCUCAAGGAAGGAAUUGGUGGUGGAGGCGGUGGUCAUGACCCCUUUGAUAUCUUCUCCUCUUUCUUUGGUGGUGGUGGUGGACACCCUUUCGGAGGUGGCAGCAGCCGUGGAAAGAGGCAGAGGCGUGGUGAAGAUGUUGUUCACCCUCUGAAGGUUUCCCUUGAGGAUCUUUAUCUCGAGACAACGAAGAAGCUCUCGCUUUCUAGGAAGGCUUUGUGCUUAAAGUGUAACGGCGAAGAUGAUAUUCACAAAAGCAUCAAAUAUAAUGUGUGGUCCAGUACCUCUAAUGGCAACAAGAAGCUUAACGCUGCGUAUAACGAAGCAGCUGGAGACAAGUCCUCCUGUCCUGUUUUUCUCAUCUUCUCUGUAAACACAAGUGGGCAGUUUGUUGGUUUAGCGGAGAUGGUAUGACCAGUUGAUUAGAACCAGAUGGCGGAGUGCUGGCAGCAGGACAAGUGGGUUGGUUGCUUCCCUGUUAAGUGUCACAUCGUUAAAGAUAUCCUGAAUAGUUCCUUGAGGCAUAUUACGCUUGAGAAUGAUGAGAACAAGCCUGUUACUAAUAGCCAUGAUACACAGGAGGUAAAGAUAGAGCAAGGAGUCAAAGUAAUCAUUUUUUUUAAGGAACAUGUGAGCAAGACAUGCAUACUCAAUGAUUUUGUCUUCUAUGAGAAUUGUGAAAAUAUAAUCAAAGACUGGGAAAAAGAAACACCAACUGUAUAAAAGACAGCAAUCUUUUACUGCCAGUGACAAAAAGGCAACACCAAAAGACAAAUCUAAGGAAACCAGUGUGAUAGCAGAAGUGGCUGAAGAGAUAUCACAAAACAGUGUUGCAGAAGUUGCGAGCACAUGCUGAAUCGCAUGCUGAGUGCAGCAGCAAGCUGCUUACUUUACUUUGGAUGGGUUUUUUUGUCCGUUUUCUCCACCAAAUUUGCUCACUCUUUUCUUAGGAGUUUGGUUUUCUUUUGGUAGUUGGUUUUUGAAGUUGUAGAAGAUAUAUGAGUAAAAAUGAUUUCGAAGGCUAUAUAUAUAUUUCUUUUUCUUAAAAGUUCAAUGCAAAAAUAUAUUUUCUGUAUGUUUUUGUAACUUCAUUCACAAAAUUUCAAUCAGAAAAUAAAGGGCAUUGUAAUUGAGAAAAGAAAGAAAACAAAUCAACCUUUGUGAGCUAUUUGAACAAAUAAAUGUUGGAAACCAACUCUUGGUCGUCUCUCCGCCACUGGUGUAUCCCAUGAGCUUCCUUAUAGUCUUCAGAAGCAGUCCGGUUUACAAUCAGCUUAGCAGAUGGGAUGACGUGAACAGGCUCUUGCACAUCCACUGUAAAAUGCUUCAAAACAGUCAAAGAAAUAUGAUAUUAUACAUCAAUUCGCUGAAACAAAAUAAGUUAAAGGUUCACAUAUUACUUGACAGACAAGUUAUUUAUCAAACCACUAGAGCAUAAGAGACCAAAAAACUAACAACAUAGUUUUCCACUACAAAAAGGGUCACCCACAAUUGGCAAAGCCAAGUGAAUGACACUUUAAAAAACUUAAAACACAACACUGUUAACGGGACUAUGAAAUACAGCCGAUCAAUACCCGAACUUAACCCAAUACUUCUAACCGAAACACUACCAAUCCCACACAUUUUAAAAACAGCAGCAGGUUCAUGGCUUUAGACUCCAGUAUUAACCUUACCAUAUCGUAAUUAACUUUUUUUUUUGUUAUCCUAGAGAGACCAUCUAUUAAGUUAUAUUUGGCAGACUAAGUACGAUCUUGGUGGAUCUAUCUUUUGUAUCAUUUAAAAAUAAAUGAUAGAAGUUUGUAUCAUUUAAUUUUGUGAUACAAUUUACAUUUUUUUUUGUAAGAUCGAUUUGUUUUUUUCUCCUUUUUUUUUGUUUUCAUUUGGUUGUUAAUGCGAGCUUUGUAGUUUUUUGGUGGGGGUAGUGUUCUCUAUCGAAAUCUUAUUUACAUGUUUGUGGAACUUCCCUGACAUCUGACAUAUUUUGUUUACUAUUAAGAUUCUAAUUGUAAAUUUAUUUAAGAAAAAAAAUAUACGAACCCGGCGCUACGCCGGAAUACCACUAGUCUGGAUAAUGAUCUGUCAAGAACCUAAAAAAUGUUAUAAUGAAAUUUAAAUGGAACAUAUAGCUUUUUAAUGUGUAAGUUGAAUCUAUCUCGUGCAAAUACCCGGCCAAUCGGAUAAUUUUUAAUAUUAAGAAUAAUUAACUAAUAAGCAUCAAGCCAAAAGAAAGAAAAUGAUGGUAAAAGGCCACUUCUGGCAUUAAAUAAUUUUAUAUUGUUUCAAUAUUAAAAUACAACAGCAAUAAAAACUUAUAAAAAGGUAAUAUCUCGAUAAUUCAGCUAGACCCAACUCAUAGUUAUGUAGCCAUUAUCAUUAUUUACUAAUACUUCUGCUUUAUAUCUUAAUUACUUUCCCCUAGUCUUACACGAACGGCAGCCUCUUGAGUUUGUAAUGUUAAUGUAAUUGUUUCGAACCAAAUACCAUUUAGCGAUGACUACUCAAAUCUAAAACUCUCUUUAUAUUUCGUUUCGUUUCGUUUCCAUCAACCAAAUUGUUUGUACGUAGCGAUUUUGCCAUUGUCUAAGCGUAGAGGUGCAUGUCUCUAGCUAGUUAUUUUAAUAUUUUGCUAGCUACCGUUUUUUCUGCUUUUAGUGCUUGUGUUUUUUUCAGUAUUAAAUCUAAAUUUAACUUUCAACCUUAAUAGUUGUGGAAAUUACUCACACACUGACAAAAACACACACACACACACACAUAUCAUUAUGUUCAACCAACGUGUCUUCAUAUGGAUCCAGAAGGUCUUUAAACUGAAAAGCGACUCCUAAAUUACAAGACAUGACUCCCAAAAACAUAUAGAAAAGCGUAUGUAUAUUCUAGUUGUGCCGAUUAUGAAAAAUUUUAAAUUUAUCAACUACAGUUCUGAUACUAAUUAGUCUACCCGUAUUAUAUUAAUCGUUAUAUCUGAGAUCAGUAUAGGAUUUAGAACUUUUUCAAAAAAAAAACUGUAGGGUUUAGAAGCAGUAUUUAACCAAUUUGGACUUUCUUUAAUCAAAUCAACAUGCAGCCAUUAUCGUACGUAGCACGCUGUUAAUUAACUGUACAUGCCACAUAAUUUCAAGAACUUAAUUUUGUACUUUUUAUUGGUUCCAACUGACAACAUUAUAGAAUGAAUAAACGGUCCAAAACUCUGUUUUUCCACGAGCUAAUUCUCCAGACGUUGCAGCUCAUAUGCUUUGUCGAUUGUUUUAGUCAGUGUUGGAGAUGGGCCAUGGGCAGACAUGAGGAAGUUCAAUGACAUGAUCCCUAAGCCUGAAUUCAAUAACUUUCAGGUAUCAUCUCAUUUUCAGUUUCAGUUCCAUUUGUAUACUUUUUCUUCGAUCUUGAUCUGAUCUCUGCAAAGUUUAUGAAUUUUACAGAGAUCAUGAAGAGAGAUUCAUCAGAGUUAGCCAAAGAAACUGCAUUGCACUUCCUGCUCUGAACUUCAGGUUUUGUGAUGCUCAUGUCGUUAAUACUUUCGCUGAGCAAACAUGAGGGACACAUUCUCUCUGAAGCCAACCUCUCACCAGGUAUUAUCUCCUUGGCGAACAUGGGGGUUACAGAUCUCUUUUACUACCAUCGAUCUCUGGCAGCUAUUGAAAUGGAAGUUGGUGAAAUGUACUAUCGAUUUCUCGUCUGUGUUUGUUUCUUCUAAGCUAAUUCAAUGGGUUUGGCUAGUUAAAAUUAUCUUUUGUAUCAGAUACUGGUUCUUUUCUAUAGGUUUGAAUAUCAAUUAAGAGUUAUUUGUAAUCUUUUGUAAAAGCCUAACGUUUUCAACUUUUUCUUUGCUAAGCUUUUAUGGUGUACUUUUUUGAAAAAAGCUUUUAGUUUAACUCGCUGGUUCAGUAACAUAUUAGUAUCUUGCAUCAUUCUAGCUUGUGACUAAAUGUUAUUACUUUCAAAUCGUUGGCA